UCUUUGUUAAAUUUAAAAAUAAUUGUUGCAGUGAAAAACUAUUAGGACUCCAUGGGAGGAACCUAAUAUUGCUCCAACGGAUAGAUACCUCAUAUUAUUUUAUACACUUAACUGCAUUCGAAGUCGAAAUAUCUUAUAUAAUACAAAAAUGCGGUGAAAAUUAAGAUAACAUUUUAAGUCAUCGUCUAAUUUUCUGACAAAUAU
This 204-nucleotide long non-coding RNA is filed under the name Carica papaya (papaya). RNAcentral's name for it is "long non-coding RNA (CPAP_LNC007399)". The record is from RNAcentral. Lineage: Eukaryota; Viridiplantae; Streptophyta; Magnoliopsida; Brassicales; Caricaceae.